This 254-nucleotide ribosomal RNA is filed under the name uncultured bacterium. RNAcentral describes it as "partial 16S ribosomal RNA". It matches the Rfam family "Bacterial small subunit ribosomal RNA", at positions 524 to 776 of the family's 1533-position model. The record is from RNAcentral.
UACGUAGGGUCCGAGCGUUGUCCGGAAUUAUUGGGCGUAAAGGGCGCGUAGGCGGCAUGUUAAGUCAGCUGUGAAAUCUCCGAGCUUAACUCGGAACUGUCAGCUGAUACUGAUGUGCUAGAGUGCAGAAGGGGCAAUCGGAAUUCUUGGUGUAGCGGUGAAAUGCGUAGAUACCAAGAGGAACACCUGAGGUGAAGACGGGUUGCUGGGCUGACACUGACGCUGACAGCGCGAAAGCCAGGGGAGCAAACGGG